RNAcentral lists this ribosomal RNA (238 nucleotides) under uncultured bacterium. RNAcentral's name for it is "partial 16S ribosomal RNA". It matches the Rfam family "Bacterial small subunit ribosomal RNA", at positions 559 to 793 of the family's 1533-position model. The record is from RNAcentral.
CGUAAAGCGCAUGCAGGCGGCCUCGUUAAGUCAGAUGUGAAAGCCCGGGGCGUUAACCUCGGAAUUGCAUUUGAAACUGGCAGGCUAGAGUCUUGUAGAGGGGGUAGGAAUUUCAGGUGUAGCGGUGAAAUAGCGUAGAGAUCUGAAGGAAUACCAGUGGCGAAGGCGGCCCCCUCGGACAAAGACUGACGCUCAGAUGCGAAAGCGUGGGAGCAAACAGGAUUAGAUACCCUGGUAG